Molecule: ribosomal RNA, 254 nt
Filed under: uncultured bacterium
Lineage: Bacteria
Description: partial 16S ribosomal RNA
Rfam family: Bacterial small subunit ribosomal RNA
Source: RNAcentral
UACGAAGGGGGCUAGCGUUGUUCGGAAUUACUGGGCGUAAAGCGUAUGCAGGCGGAUCGUUAAGUCGGGGGUGAAAUCCCGAGGCUCAACCUCGGAACUGCCUUCGAUACUGGCGACCUUCGAGUCCGGGAGAGGUGAGUGGAAUUCCUAGUGUAGAGGUGAAAUUCGUAGAUAUUAGGAAGAACACCAGUGGCGAAGGCGGCUCACUGGCCCGGUACUGACGCUGAGGCGCGAAAGCGUGGGGAGCAAACAGG